AUGCUUCCGGCGCUGAGGCAUCGUCUCCGCCUCCCCCUCGCCCACCUCUGCCGCCGCCUCUCCUCGUCCUCGUCCUCUUCCGGCGAGGGAGCUGCCCCCGUCGCCCCCGCGGACGCCGCGGCGAAGGCGCGGGAGGCGCAUGCGGCGCGGAUGGAGGCGUACAAGAAAGUGCAGGAGUUCGACUGGUCCAGCGGCGCUGAUUGGAAGACGGCCGCCAACAUCCUCUUCACGGUGCCCCCCAAGCGCAAGGAGUUCGGGCUUGACUUCCACCUUGUACAGCUCUUCUUUGUUUGCAUGCCCUCACUAGCUGUCUAUUUGGUAGCCCAGUAUGCGCGAAGUGAGAUCAAAAGGAUGGAAGCGGAAGCAGAAGUAAAAAGGAAAAAAAUCGAGGAAGUAGAGAAACAGAAACAACUUGAAGCCGACUCUGUUAAGGAGGAUGCCGAUUCGAAGCUGGCAACGGUUUUAGUCAGGUUAGAUACAUUAGAGGGUGUCGUUAAGGAAAUUGCAGAGGAAAAAUUGAGAAGUCCUGCCCUUACGAAAGAGGAAUCUCUGAAGAAAGGUGAGACAUCAUCUCCUGAUAAGGCCUCUGCUUCAAAAAGCGAUGGAAGUGAUAGUCAGCUAGCAUCAGUCAAGAUUAAGGACACCAAGGAUGCUACUAAUGCUCCGCCAGAUGCGACACAGCAGGACACUAAACGGGACAGAGGCAAGGCAAAUGGAGGCUGGCGAGUUUAA
This 732-nucleotide ribosomal RNA is filed under the name Triticum aestivum (bread wheat). RNAcentral describes it as "partial small subunit ribosomal RNA". The record is from RNAcentral. Lineage: Eukaryota; Viridiplantae; Streptophyta; Magnoliopsida; Poales; Poaceae.